GGCAGUGUGGCUCAGUGGAAAGAGCCCGGGCUUGGGCUUGGGAGUCAGAGGUCAUGGGUUUGAAUCCCGGCUCUGCCA
This 78-nucleotide transfer RNA is filed under the name Ornithorhynchus anatinus (platypus). It matches the Rfam family "tRNA". Rfam says of the family: Transfer RNA (tRNA) molecules are approximately 80 nucleotides in length. Their secondary structure includes four short double-helical elements and three loops (D, anti-codon, and T loops). Lineage: Eukaryota; Metazoa; Chordata; Mammalia; Monotremata; Ornithorhynchidae. The record is from Rfam by way of RNAcentral.